RNAcentral lists this transfer RNA (70 nucleotides) under Dipodomys ordii (Ord's kangaroo rat). It matches the Rfam family "tRNA". Rfam says of the family: Transfer RNA (tRNA) molecules are approximately 80 nucleotides in length. Their secondary structure includes four short double-helical elements and three loops (D, anti-codon, and T loops). Further hydrogen bonds mediate the characteristic L-shaped molecular structure. tRNAs have two regions of fundamental functional importance: the anti-codon, which is responsible for specific mRNA codon recognition, and the 3' end, to which the tRNAs corresponding amino acid is attached (by aminoacyl-tRNA synthetases). tRNAs cope with the degeneracy of the genetic code in two manners: having more than one tRNA (with a specific anti-codon) for a particular amino acid; and 'wobble' base-pairing, i.e. permitting non-standard base-pairing at the 3rd anti-codon position. Lineage: Eukaryota; Metazoa; Chordata; Mammalia; Rodentia; Heteromyidae. The record is from Rfam by way of RNAcentral.
GGGAAUGUGGCUUAGUGGUAGAGUGCUUGCCUAGCAUGCGUGAGGCCCUGGGUUCAAUUCCUCAGUACCA